This 616-nucleotide ribosomal RNA is filed under the name Thaxterogaster scaurus. Its description in RNAcentral is "eukaryotic LSU rRNA". It matches the Rfam family "Eukaryotic large subunit ribosomal RNA", at positions 1 to 615 of the family's 3401-position model. Lineage: Eukaryota; Fungi; Basidiomycota; Agaricomycetes; Agaricales; Cortinariaceae. The record is from RNAcentral.
UGUGACCUCAAAUCAGGUAGGACUACCCGCUGAACUUAAGCAUAUCAAUAAGCGGAGGAAAAGAAACUAACAAGGAUUCCCCUAGUAACUGCGAGUGAAGCGGGAAAAGCUCAAAUUUAAAAUCUGGCAGUCUCUGGCUGUCCGAGUUGUAAUCUAGAGAAGUGUUAUCCGCGCUGGACCGUGUACAAGUCUCCUGGAAUGGAGCGUCAUAGAGGGUGAGAAUCCCGUCUUUGACACGGACUGCCAGGGCUUUGUGAUGCGCUCUCAAAGAGUCGAGUUGUUUGGGAAUGCAGCUCAAAAUGGGUGGUAAAUUCCAUCUAAAGCUAAAUAUUGGCGAGAGACCGAUAGCGAACAAGUACCGUGAGGGAAAGAUGAAAAGAACUUUGGAAAGAGAGUUAAACAGUACGUGAAAUUGCUGAAAGGGAAACGCUUGAAGUCAGUCGCGUUGGUCAGGGAUCAACCUUGCUUUUGCUAGGUGUACUUUCUGGUUGACGGGUCAGCAUCAAUUUUGAUCAUUGGAAAAAGAUUAGGGGAAUGUGGCAUCCUUGGAUGUGUUAUAGCCCUUGGUUGUAUACAAUGGUUGGGAUUGAGGAGCUCAGCACGCCGCAAGGCCGGG